GAUGAACGCUGGCGGCGUGCCUAAUACAUGCAAGUCGAGCGAACAGAUGAGGAGCUUGCUCCUCUGACGUUAGCGGCGGACGGGUGAGUAACACGUGGAUAACCUACCUAUAAGACUGGGAUAACUUCGGGAAACCGGAGCUAAUACCGGAUAAUAUAUUGAACCGCAUGGUUCAAUAGUGAAAGACGGUUUUGCUGUCACUUAUAGAUGGAUCCGCGCCGCAUUAGCUAGUUGGUAAGGUAACGGCUUACCAAGGCAACGAUGCGUAGCCGACCUGAGAGGCUGAUCGGCCACACUGGAACUGAGACACGGUCCAGCCUCCUACGGGAGGCAGCCGUAGGGAAUCUUCCCCAAUGGGCGAAAGCCUGACGGAGCAACGCCGCGUGAGUGAUGAAGGUCUUCGGAUCGUAAAACUCUGUUAUUAGGGAAGAACAAAUGUGUAAGUAACUAUGCACGUCUUGACGGUACCUAAUCAGAAAGCCACGGCUAACCACGUG
RNAcentral lists this ribosomal RNA (497 nucleotides) under uncultured bacterium. RNAcentral describes it as "partial 16S ribosomal RNA". It matches the Rfam family "Bacterial small subunit ribosomal RNA", at positions 28 to 507 of the family's 1533-position model. The record is from RNAcentral.